Molecule: ribosomal RNA, 1565 nt
Filed under: Staphylococcus aureus
Lineage: Bacteria; Bacillati; Bacillota; Bacilli; Caryophanales; Staphylococcaceae
Description: 16S ribosomal RNA
Rfam family: Bacterial small subunit ribosomal RNA
Source: RNAcentral
CAUCAUAAUUUUUAUGGAGAGUUUGAUCCUGGCUCAGGAUGAACGCUGGCGGCGUGCCUAAUACAUGCAAGUCGAGCGAACGGACGAGAAGCUUGCUUCUCUGAUGUUAGCGGCGGACGGGUGAGUAACACGUGGAUAACCUACCUAUAAGACUGGGAUAACUUCGGGAAACCGGAGCUAAUACCGGAUAAUAUUUUGAACCGCAUGGUUCAAAAGUGAAAGACGGUCUUGCUGUCACUUAUAGAUGGAUCCGCGCUGCAUUAGCUAGUUGGUAAGGUAACGGCUUACCAAGGCAACGAUGCAUAGCCGACCUGAGAGGGUGAUCGGCCACACUGGAACUGAGACACGGUCCAGACUCCUACGGGAGGCAGCAGUAGGGAAUCUUCCGCAAUGGGCGAAAGCCUGACGGAGCAACGCCGCGUGAGUGAUGAAGGUCUUCGGAUCGUAAAACUCUGUUAUUAGGGAAGAACAUAUGUGUAAGUAACUGUGCACAUCUUGACGGUACCUAAUCAGAAAGCCACGGCUAACUACGUGCCAGCAGCCGCGGUAAUACGUAGGUGGCAAGCGUUAUCCGGAAUUAUUGGGCGUAAAGCGCGCGUAGGCGGUUUUUUAAGUCUGAUGUGAAAGCCCACGGCUCAACCGUGGAGGGUCAUUGGAAACUGGAAAACUUGAGUGCAGAAGAGGAAAGUGGAAUUCCAUGUGUAGCGGUGAAAUGCGCAGAGAUAUGGAGGAACACCAGUGGCGAAGGCGACUUUCUGGUCUGUAACUGACGCUGAUGUGCGAAAGCGUGGGGAUCAAACAGGAUUAGAUACCCUGGUAGUCCACGCCGUAAACGAUGAGUGCUAAGUGUUAGGGGGUUUCCGCCCCUUAGUGCUGCAGCUAACGCAUUAAGCACUCCGCCUGGGGAGUACGACCGCAAGGUUGAAACUCAAAGGAAUUGACGGGGACCCGCACAAGCGGUGGAGCAUGUGGUUUAAUUCGAAGCAACGCGAAGAACCUUACCAAAUCUUGACAUCCUUUGACAACUCUAGAGAUAGAGCCUUCCCCUUCGGGGGACAAAGUGACAGGUGGUGCAUGGUUGUCGUCAGCUCGUGUCGUGAGAUGUUGGGUUAAGUCCCGCAACGAGCGCAACCCUUAAGCUUAGUUGCCAUCAUUAAGUUGGGCACUCUAAGUUGACUGCCGGUGACAAACCGGAGGAAGGUGGGGAUGACGUCAAAUCAUCAUGCCCCUUAUGAUUUGGGCUACACACGUGCUACAAUGGACAAUACAAAGGGCAGCGAAACCGCGAGGUCAAGCAAAUCCCAUAAAGUUGUUCUCAGUUCGGAUUGUAGUCUGCAACUCGACUACAUGAAGCUGGAAUCGCUAGUAAUCGUAGAUCAGCAUGCUACGGUGAAUACGUUCCCGGGUCUUGUACACACCGCCCGUCACACCACGAGAGUUUGUAACACCCGAAGCCGGUGGAGUAACCUUUUAGGAGCUAGCCGUCGAAGGUGGGACAAAUGAUUGGGGUGAAGUCGUAACAAGGUAGCCGUAUCGGAAGGUGCGGCUGGAUCACCUCCUUUCUA